RNAcentral lists this ribosomal RNA (460 nucleotides) under uncultured bacterium. RNAcentral's name for it is "partial 16S ribosomal RNA". It matches the Rfam family "Bacterial small subunit ribosomal RNA", at positions 338 to 795 of the family's 1533-position model. The record is from RNAcentral.
CCUACGGGAGGCAGCAGUGAGGAAUAUUGGUCAAUGGACGCAAGUCUGAACCAGCCAUGCCGCGUGCAGGAAGACGGCUCUCUGAGUUGUAAACUGCUUUUGUACGAGGGUAAACGCAGAUACGCGUAUCUUUCUGAAAGUAUCGUACGCAUAAGGAUCGGCUAACUCCGUGCCAGCAGCCGCGGUAAUACGGAGGGUUCAAGCGUUAUCCGGAUUUAUUGGGUUUAAGGGGUGCGUAGGCGGUCGGGUAAGUUAGAGGUGAAAUCCCGAGGCUCAACUUCGGAAUUGCCUCUGAUACUGGUCGGCUAGAGAGUAGUUGCGGUAGGCGGAAUGUAAGGUGUAGCGGUGAAAUGCUUAGAGAUCAUACAGAACACCGAUGGCGAAGGCAGCUUACCAAGCUACUUCUGACGUUGAGGCACGAAAGCGUGGGGAGCAAACAGGAUUAGAUACCCUUGUAGUC